UACGGAGGGGGCGAGCGUUAUUCGGAAUUAUUGGGCGUAAAGCGCGCGCAGGCGGUCCUUUAAGUCUGAUGUGAAAGCCCACGGCUCAACCGUGGAAGGUCAUUGGAAACUGGAGGACUUGAGUACAGAAGAGGAAAGCGGAAUUCCACGUGUAGCGGUGAAAUGCGUAGAGAUUUGGAGGAACACCAGUGGCGAAGGCGGCUUUCUGGUCUGUAACUGACGCUGAGGCGCGAAAGCGUGGGGAGCAAACGGG
Molecule: ribosomal RNA, 253 nt
Filed under: uncultured bacterium
Lineage: Bacteria
Description: partial 16S ribosomal RNA
Rfam family: Bacterial small subunit ribosomal RNA
Source: RNAcentral